AUUGAACGCUGGCGGCAUGCUUUACACAUGCAAGUCGAACGGUAACAGGUCUUCGGAUGCUGACGAGUGGCGAACGGGUGAGUAAUACAUCGGAACGUGCCUAGUAGUGGGGGAUAACUACUCGAAAGAGUAGCUAAUACCGCAUGAGAUCUACGGAUGAAAGCAGGGGACCUUCGGGCCUUGUGCUACUAGAGCGGCUGAUGGCAGAUUAGGUAGUUGGUGGGGUAAGGGCUUACCAAGCCUGCGAUCUGUAGCUGGUCUGAGAGGACGACCAGCCACACUGGGACUGAGACACGGCCCAGACUCCUACGGGAGGCAGCAGUGGGGAAUUUUGGACAAUGGGCGAAAGCCUGAUCCAGCAAUGCCGCGUGCAGGAUGAAGGCCCUCGGGUUGUAACUGCUUUUGUACGGAACGAAAAGCCUGGGGCUAAUAUCCCCGGGUCAUGACGGUACCGUAAGAAUAAGCACCGGCUAACUACGUGCCAGCCGCCGCCGUAA
RNAcentral lists this ribosomal RNA (497 nucleotides) under uncultured bacterium. Its description in RNAcentral is "partial 16S ribosomal RNA". It matches the Rfam family "Bacterial small subunit ribosomal RNA", at positions 30 to 523 of the family's 1533-position model. The record is from RNAcentral.